Non-coding RNA from Caenorhabditis elegans, 120 nucleotides. NCBI's taxonomy places the organism in Eukaryota, Metazoa, Nematoda, Chromadorea, Rhabditida, Rhabditidae. The record is from Ensembl.
CAGACAGGUCAAAGCCCAUGGGGCGGGACACCCCCCAGCCGGGUGGCGCGCGCCUUUCUCUCUCUCAAAGUGUCGGUCACUCGUCUCUCUAUUUCUCUCUCUCUCUAUGCUUUUCCUUCU